UCUACGGGGGGCUGCAGUGAGGAAUAUUGGUCAAUGGGCGCGAGCCUGAACCAGCCAAGUAGCGUGAAGGAUGACUGCCCUACGGGUUGUAAACUUCUUUUAUAAAGGAAUAAAGUGAGGCACGUGUGCCUUUUUGUAUGUACUUUAUGAAUAAGGAUCGGAUAACUCCGUGCCAGCAGGCGCGGUAAUACGGAGGAUACGAGCGUUAUCCGGAUUUAUUGGGUUUAAAGGGAGCGUAGAUGGGUUGUUAAGUCAGUUGUGAAAGUUUGCGGCUCAACCGUAAAAUUGCAAUUGAUACUGGCAGCCUUGAGUACAGUUGAGGUAGGCGGAAUUCGUGGUGUAGCGGUGAAAUGCUUAGAUAUCACGAAGAACUCCGAUUGCGAAGGCAGCUUACUAAACUGCCACUGACAUUGAUGCUCGAAAGUGUGGGUAUCAAACAGGAUUAGAUACCCCGGUAGUC
This 460-nucleotide ribosomal RNA is filed under the name uncultured bacterium. RNAcentral's name for it is "partial 16S ribosomal RNA". It matches the Rfam family "Bacterial small subunit ribosomal RNA", at positions 338 to 795 of the family's 1533-position model. The record is from RNAcentral.